Long non-coding RNA from Manis pentadactyla (Chinese pangolin), 464 nucleotides. RefSeq lists it as uncharacterized. The record is from RefSeq and is a predicted model, not a curated record. Lineage: Eukaryota; Metazoa; Chordata; Mammalia; Pholidota; Manidae. The transcript has 2 exons.
AUAAGAAAGAAACAAAUCCUACCAUUUGCAACAACAUGGAUGGAGCUGGAGGAAAUUAUGCUCAGUGAAAUAAGCCAGGCAGAGAAAGACAAGUAUCAAAUGAUUUCACUUAUCUGUGGAGUAUAAGAACAAAGAAAAAACUGAAGGAACAAAACAGCAGCAGACUCACAGAACCCAAGAAUGGACUAAACAGUUACCAAGGGAAAAGGGACUAGGGAGGGUGGUUGAGAUGGGAGAGAUUAGGGGGAAAAUGGGGCAUUACAAUUAGCACACAUAACGUAGGGGGGAUCACAGGGAAGGCAGUAUACCAUGGGGAAGACAAGUAAUGAUUCUAAAGCAUCUUACUAUGCUGAUGGGCAGUGACUGUAAUGGGGUACGUGAGGGGGACUUGAUAAUGGGGGGAGUCUAGUAACCAUAAUGUUCAAGUAAUUGUACAUUAAUGAUAUCAAAAUAAAAAAAUAAAA